This 478-nucleotide ribosomal RNA is filed under the name uncultured bacterium. RNAcentral's name for it is "bacterial SSU rRNA". It matches the Rfam family "Bacterial small subunit ribosomal RNA", at positions 555 to 1029 of the family's 1533-position model. The record is from RNAcentral.
UGGGCGUAAGGGCGCGUAGGCGGCUCAUGAAGGCUGUGGUGAAAGUCCGGGGCUCAACCUCGGAUCGGCCGUGGCGACUCGUGGGCUGGAGCACUGUAGAGGCGGGUGGAAUUCCGGGUGUAGCGGUGGAAUGCGUAGAGAUCCGGAAGAACACCAGUGGCGAAGGCGGCCCGCUGGGCAGUGGCUGACGCUGAAGCACGACAGCGUGGGGAGCAAACAGGAUUAGAUACCCUGGUAGCCCACGCCGUAAACGAUGGGCACUAGGUGCUUGGGGGAGCGACCCUCUGAGUGCCGGCGCUAACGCAUUAAGUGCCCCGCCUGGGGAGUACGGCCGCAAGGCUGAAACUCAAAGGAAUUGACGGGGGCCCGCACAAGCAGUGGAGCAUGUGGUUUAAUUCGACGCAACGCGAAGAACCUUACCUAGGCUUGACAUACACGGGACACCCCUCGAGAAACCGAGGGCUUCCUUUGGGACCCG